RNAcentral lists this ribosomal RNA (301 nucleotides) under uncultured bacterium. RNAcentral's name for it is "partial 16S ribosomal RNA". It matches the Rfam family "Bacterial small subunit ribosomal RNA", at positions 509 to 807 of the family's 1533-position model. The record is from RNAcentral.
CAGUCGCCACGGUAAUACGUAGGGUCCGAGCGUUGUCCGGAAUUACUGGGCGUAAAGCGCACGUAGGCGGAUAUUUAAGUCAGGGGUGAAAUCCCGCAGCUCAACUGCGGAACUGCCUUUGAUACUGGGUAUCUUGAGUAUGGAAGAGGUUAGUGGAAUUGCGAGUGUAGAGGUGAAAUUCGUAGAUAUUCGCAGGAACACCAGUGGCGAAGGCGGCUAACUGGUCCAUAACUGGCGCUGAGGUGCGAAAGCGUGGGGAGCAAACAGGAUUAGAUACCCCAGUAGUCCCUGUCUCUUAUAC